Molecule: ribosomal RNA, 255 nt
Filed under: uncultured bacterium
Lineage: Bacteria
Description: partial 16S ribosomal RNA
Rfam family: Bacterial small subunit ribosomal RNA
Source: RNAcentral
GUAACGGCCCACCAAGGCGACGAUGCGUAGCCGACCUGAGAGGGUGACCGGCCACACUGGGACUGAGACACGGCCCAGACUCCUACGGGAGGCAGCAGUAGGGAAUUUUCGGCAAUGGGGGAAACCCUGACCGAGCAACGCCGCGUGAAGGAAGAAGGUUUUCGGAUUGUAAACUUCUGUUAUAAAGGAAGAACGGCGGCUACAGGAAAUGGUAGCCGAGUGACGGUACUUUAUUAGAAAGCCACGGCUAACUAC